ACGCGUUGAACCUUACCAGGUCUUGACAUCCCGCUGCUCGGUAUAGAGAUAUACCUUUCCCUUCGGGGACAGCGGUGACAGGUGGUGCAUGGUUGUCGUCAGCUCGUGUCGUGAGAUGUUGGGUUAAGUCCCGCAACGAGCGCAACCCUUGAUCUUAGUUGCCAGCAUUCAGUUGGGCACUCUAAGGUGACUGCCGGUGACAAACCGGAGGAAGGUGGGGAUGACGUCAAAUCAUCAUGCCCCUUAUGACCUGGGCUACACACGUGCUACAAUGGAUGGUACAAAGGGCUGCAAGACCGCGAGGUUUAGCCAAUCCCAUAAAACCAUUCUCAGUUCGGAUUGCAGGCUGCAACUCGCCUGCAUGAAGCUGGAAUCGCUAGUAAUCGCGGAUCAGCAUGCCGCGGUGAAUACGUUCCCGGGCCUUGCACACACCGCCCGU
This 439-nucleotide ribosomal RNA is filed under the name uncultured bacterium. Its description in RNAcentral is "bacterial SSU rRNA". It matches the Rfam family "Bacterial small subunit ribosomal RNA", at positions 959 to 1397 of the family's 1533-position model. The record is from RNAcentral.